GGCGCUGAAGCGUCGUGCUUAUACUCUACCGUCGGGACAGUAGUGAUAUCUUUACCACUCUGCGGGGUGUAAAAUAUCGUCAGGUCUCGACGAGUAGGUGGGCCGCGGCGGUGAGCGCAGAAGGACUGGGCGUAGGCCCGUCUGGAGCCUCCGUCGGUGCAGAUCUUGGUGGUAGUAGCAAAUACUCCAGCGAGGCCCUGGAGGACUGACGUGGAGAAGGGUUUCGUGUGAACAGCCGUUGCACACGAGUCAGUCGAUCCUAAGCCAUAGGAGAAAUCCGAUGUCAAUGUAGUGUGUCUUUAAUGAAUAUUAUUAUUAUUAUCAUGUGGUGGAAUAUAUAUUUAUAUAUCUAUAUCUCUAAUGUUUGGUUAAUGGAAUUGUGUAUUUGAACAGCAAAACAGAGAGAAACAUAUAUUAUAUAUAAAGAGACUUGUCUUAAUUAUGAAAUAUAAAGAGUAAUAUCACACUCAUUGGGCGAAAGGGAAUCCGGUUCCUAUUCCGGAACCCGGCAGCGGAACCGUACACAUGUCGGCCCCUCGUAAGAGAGUUCGUCGGGGCAACCCAAAAGGGCCUGGAGACGCCGUCGGGAGAUCCGGGAAGAGUUUUCUUUUCUGUAUGAGCGUUCGAGUUCCCUGGAAUCCUCUAGCAGGGAGAUAGGGUUUGGAACGCGAAGAGCACCGCAGUUGCGGCGGUGUCCGGAUCGUCCCCUCGGACCUUGAAAAUCCAGGUGAGGGCUACGUGGAGGUGUCGCGCCGGUUCGUACCCAUAUCCGCAGCAGUUCCAAGGAGAC
This 790-nucleotide ribosomal RNA is filed under the name Ceroglossus chilensis. RNAcentral describes it as "eukaryotic LSU rRNA". It matches the Rfam family "Eukaryotic large subunit ribosomal RNA", at positions 1324 to 1876 of the family's 3401-position model. The record is from RNAcentral. Lineage: Eukaryota; Metazoa; Arthropoda; Insecta; Coleoptera; Carabidae.